This 155-nucleotide ribosomal RNA is filed under the name Neisseria sp. RNAcentral's name for it is "partial 16S ribosomal RNA". It matches the Rfam family "Bacterial small subunit ribosomal RNA", at positions 1381 to 1533 of the family's 1533-position model. The record is from RNAcentral. Lineage: Bacteria; Pseudomonadati; Pseudomonadota; Betaproteobacteria; Neisseriales; Neisseriaceae.
UUGUACACACCGCCCGUCACACCAUGGGAGUGGGUUGUACCAGAAGUAGAUAGCUUAACCUUUUGGAGGGCGUUUACCACGGUAUGAUUCAUGACUGGGGUGAAGUCGUAACAAGGUAACCGUAGGGGAACCUGCGGUUGGAUCACCUCCUUACC